Molecule: long non-coding RNA, 919 nt
Organism: Manihot esculenta (cassava)
Lineage: Eukaryota; Viridiplantae; Streptophyta; Magnoliopsida; Malpighiales; Euphorbiaceae
Exons: 2
Source: RefSeq, a predicted model, not a curated record
GUAUUUUAUUUAUUCUAUUUACAGUGCCAACAAUGAAACCCUAAUCAAACUUGCUAGACUCUCUAUGAUUAAUGAUGAUUUGUAGAUAAAUUCUCUCCAAAAUGGACAAAAAAUUCUUCAAAUUCAUCAUUUAAUCAUUUUUAAAAUAAUAUUAUCCAUUCAAUUAUUAACCCUCUUUAAUUCAGUGGAGAUCCCAUCACUAAAUUUACAUCAUUAUGCUCAACCACACAAACCCUACAGAUGCUGCGUUUUCUAUAAAAACACUAUAGAUUUCUCUUUCUCUCCUCCAUUUUGAACUCUUGGCUCUGUACUAAGUUUUGGUAAAAAAAAGAAAGAGUGCAAGAAUGAAGGUUGUAGUAGUGAUUGCUCUAGCACUGAUGAUGGUUGGAUGCUGCUUUGCUGGGAACAAGAAAUUAGAUUUAGUUGUUGGUGAAGAUGAGAAAUGGAGCAGCCGCCACCUUGUCGGAAACCAGCAAGAAGUUAAUAAGCAUCAGGACAACGAUAACUGCUGUGACCACCAUUCUAUUCCUAGGGGUGGUUAUGGUGGUGGUGGUGUCGGCGAUAAUAAUGAAGGUGGCAAAGUUUAAUAUAUCUUAAAUCAUAGUUAAGCGGUAAAAUAAUGUUUUGUAAUAAAAGGGUUGAGUUUCUUCUUCUUCCUUGGAAUAUUGAUAAGGUUUGCUGGUUCUAAUAUUCAUAGCUGAGGUAAGCCUCAAGUUCUUCAAAAUUCAAGCUUUAGUCUAUGUACACGGGACGGAGGAAAGGUACGUGCCAUACCGGCGAUCGAAAAAUGCUUUGAAGGGGAUGAAUGUGUCACAGCGGCGCAGCCGGUGCUCUACCAAAGGGAAACUCCUGGCUCCGCCACUGUUUAUGUAUGUCUUAUGUAACCACACCACAUAUAUAAAUAAAUAAAAUUUUAUUA